ACGUCAACUAUGAUUUUGUAUUUGGUGUUCAUUUCCUUCUUUUGCCUUUCGAUCUCAGAUUCGGUUGUAGCACAAGGACGAGGUGUUUGUGGAACUCGGUCAUACAACCCUAGCUUUGAUAUUUGCUGCAACGGAGUUAUCAAUAGCCGAGGUAGGGGUAGAAGUUGCUGCGGGACUACAGCAUACAACUCUGGUUUUGACAUUUGCUGCAACGGAGUUAUUAAUAGCCGUGGUAGGGGUAGAAGUUGCUGCGGGACUACAGCAUACAACUCUGGCUUUGACAUUUGCUGCAACGGAGUUAUUAAUAGCCGUGGUAGGGGUAGAAGUUGCUGCGGGACUACAGCAUACAACCCUGGGUUUAACAAAUGCUGCAAUGGAGUUGUCUGCUAGAUAAAUGACGGAAUAUAGAAAUAAAAUUUUCCAAUUCUUU
Molecule: long non-coding RNA, 430 nt
Organism: Saccostrea echinata
Lineage: Eukaryota; Metazoa; Mollusca; Bivalvia; Ostreida; Ostreidae
Exons: 2
Source: RefSeq, a predicted model, not a curated record